RNAcentral lists this ribosomal RNA (116 nucleotides) under uncultured bacterium. RNAcentral's name for it is "partial 16S ribosomal RNA". It matches the Rfam family "Bacterial small subunit ribosomal RNA", at positions 1367 to 1482 of the family's 1533-position model. The record is from RNAcentral.
UACGUUCCCGGGUCUUGUACACACCGCCCGUCACACCACGAGAGUUUGUAACACCCGAAGUCGGUGGGGUAACCGCAAGGGGCCGGCCGCCUAAGGUGGGACAGAUGAUUGGGGUG